GAUAGAUUUGCAAGUUGUGCAAGAGAUCCAAGAGAGAGAAAGAUGAGAUAUACAAUAGAGGAGAGAGAAAUUCAUUUCAUUUUUUUUUCAUUACUUCCAAAUAGAGAGAGAAGGAAAAAGAAAAUAGAAAGCUAGUACGAGAGAGCAAAGUCGGCAGCCAAAGAGGGUUAGAAGGAGAGAGAUUUGAGCUUCAUACUACCCAAGUUCAUCAACCAUUAUGGAAGAAAAAGAAGAUAGCUCAAAGAAACAAGGUAUAAAACCUUUACCUCUAACUUGGUUAAUGUAUUUUAAUGAUUUGAUAAAGAACUUAUGUUCUUGAACUUUAAAACUUUAGAUCUACAUGUUAAAUAAUGUAUUAUAUAUAGAUCUAACUAUUUUGAGUGUUAAAAAGUUGGAUCAAGGGAAAGAAAAGUAAAACAGUUUUUAAAGCUUAAGAAAAUUAGUAGACUACUGACCCUAAAAGGGAAUUUCGAGAUUAGUUAGAUGUUUCAGAAAAUUCUGGACUUUUGGUAUGUUAUAUUACACUGAAUAAGCUUUCCAUAGACUCCAGAACGGACUAAAUCCGACUCUGGAGCAAAGAGUUAUGACAUUUUAAAGUAACAGACUCAAAACUGGAAAAACCCAUUCGGUUCAGUCCCUUUGCACAAAUUUCUGGGCUGAUAUGUUCGAAAUCUGGAAAAAUAUCAGUAGGAAAAAGUUGUAGACACGGAAGUUAUCUUCGUGUGGGCUCAAGAAUCGCUCAAAAAUAUUUUGAAACGAGAGAGUUUGACUAUUUUAGCGAAAGAGGGUAAAGCUGGGGAAAAGGGGAAAACUGUUACGAGUGUACAUUUUUGGGACCUAUUUUACGCUGCCUAUGAGGUCCAAAAUGGGUGGGUUAUAUUUUUUUUAAAAUAGCCUACUAUGGUACCUAUAACAUAUCCAAAUUUGGAAAUUUUUUGAUUAACGAUCAAAGCGGGAGAAAAUCACAAAAUGGCUAGGUUGAUAACAAACCCAGCAGCAGCAACUGCUCGCGGCCGCGCGCGCUGCCAUGCAGUUGUGCUGUGCUGGGCAGUUUGCUUGACGUCCUUUUCGCUCACUGUUUUAAUGAGCUUUCGUGAUCCGUUUUCGCAGUGUGAAAUUUUUCUAAAAUACUAUGACAUAAGUUCUAUAACUUGCCCAAAAAUUUACUGUUAUAGGACUUAUGGAAAAUGAGCAAAGGAGCAUGUCAGAACUUAAAAACGGGCGACACCGAGCGUCGGCGCAUUGAGCAAUUUUGACGUUCAACGUUUCCGGUGAAAUAACAAGUCAUAAUAAAUCUAAUAAAGUCAUACGGGGUGAGAUUUGACUAUAAGUGAUAUUUUAUGCCGAGAAACUUUCUUUCAGACAUAAAUAUGUAAUAAAUAUAAAUUUACAUAUUUAAGCAAAAUAAAAACUAAGGUUGCCUAUAAAAUUAUUUUGUAGUGCAAUGAAGGACGAGAAGCCUUUAAAAAUUUGUAUAAAUCAUAAAAAUGAUAUGUUUGAGGUUUUCGGGGUUAAAAAUAAAGUUUUUGAGCUG
Molecule: long non-coding RNA, 1534 nt
Filed under: Panax ginseng (ginseng)
Lineage: Eukaryota; Viridiplantae; Streptophyta; Magnoliopsida; Apiales; Araliaceae
Description: long non-coding RNA (PGIN_LNC003875)
Source: RNAcentral